This 276-nucleotide ribosomal RNA is filed under the name uncultured bacterium. RNAcentral describes it as "partial 16S ribosomal RNA". It matches the Rfam family "Bacterial small subunit ribosomal RNA", at positions 335 to 604 of the family's 1533-position model. The record is from RNAcentral.
ACUCCUACGGGAGGCAGCAGUGGGGAAUAUUGCACAAUGGGGGAAACCCUGAUCCAGCCAUGCCGNGUGUGUGAAGAAGGCCUUCGGGUUGUAAAGCACUUUCAGGGGGAGGAAAGGCUGAUGGUUAAUACCUAUCAGCUGUGACGUUACCCACAGAAGAAGCACCGGCUAACUCCGUGCCAGCAGCCGCGGUAAUACGGAGGGUGCAAGCGUUAAUCGGAAUUACUGGGCGUAAAGCGUGCGCAGGCGGUCUGUUAAGCGAGAUGUGAAAGCCCC